Molecule: ribosomal RNA, 472 nt
Filed under: uncultured bacterium
Lineage: Bacteria
Description: partial 16S ribosomal RNA
Rfam family: Bacterial small subunit ribosomal RNA
Source: RNAcentral
GACGAACGCUGGCGGCGUGCUUAACACAUGCAAGUCGAACGCUGAAGCUUGGUGCUUGCACUGGGUGGAUGAGUGGCGAACGGGUGAGUAAUACGUGAGUAACCUGCCCUUGACUCUGGGAUAAGCCUGGGAAACUGGGUCUAAUACUGGAUACGACAUGUCACCGCAUGGUGGUGUGUGGAAAGGGUUUUACUGGUUUUGGAUGGGCUCACGGCCUAUCAGCUUGUUGGUGGGGUAAUGGCUCACCAAGGCGACGACGGGUAGCCGGCCUGAGAGGGUGACCGGCCACACUGGGACUGAGACACGGCCCAGACUCCUACGGGAGGCAGCAGUGGGGAAUAUUGCACAAUGGGCGGAAGCCUGAUGCGGCGACGCCGCGUGAGGGAUGACGGCCUUCGGGUUGUAAACCUCUUUCAGCACGGAAGAAGCGAAAGUGACGGUACGUGCAGAAGAAGCGCCGGCUAACUACGUG